RNAcentral lists this ribosomal RNA (497 nucleotides) under uncultured bacterium. Its description in RNAcentral is "partial 16S ribosomal RNA". It matches the Rfam family "Bacterial small subunit ribosomal RNA", at positions 28 to 507 of the family's 1533-position model. The record is from RNAcentral.
GAUGAACGCUGGCGGCGUGCCUAAUACAUGCAAGUCGAGCGAACAGAUGAGGAGCUUGCUCCUCUGACGUUAUCGGCGGACGGGUGAGUAACACGUGGUUAACCUACCUAUAAGACUUGGAUAACUUCGGGAAACCGGAUCUACUACCGGAUAAUAUAUUGAACCGCAUGGUUCACUAGUUAAAGACGGUUUUGCUGUCACUUAUAGAUUGAUCCGCGACCCAUUAGCUAGUUGGUAAGGUAACGGCUUACCAAGGCAACGAUGCGUAGCCGACCCGAGAGCGAGAUUGGCCACACUGGAACUGAGACUCGGCACAGACACCUGCGGUGGGAAGCAGUAGGGAAUCUUACGCGAUGGGGGAAAGCCGGACGGAGCAACGCCGCGUGAGUGAUGAAGGUCUUCGGAUCGUAAAACUCUGUUAUUAGGGAAGAACAAAAGUGUAAGUAACUAUGCACGUCUUGACGGUACCUAAUCAGAAAGCCACGGCUAACUACGUG